RNAcentral lists this transfer RNA (77 nucleotides) under Candidatus Bathyarchaeota archaeon. Its description in RNAcentral is "tRNA-Gly". It matches the Rfam family "tRNA". From Rfam's summary of the family: Transfer RNA (tRNA) molecules are approximately 80 nucleotides in length. Their secondary structure includes four short double-helical elements and three loops (D, anti-codon, and T loops). Further hydrogen bonds mediate the characteristic L-shaped molecular structure. tRNAs have two regions of fundamental functional importance: the anti-codon, which is responsible for specific mRNA codon recognition, and the 3' end, to which the tRNAs corresponding amino acid is attached (by aminoacyl-tRNA synthetases). tRNAs cope with the degeneracy of the genetic code in two manners: having more than one tRNA (with a specific anti-codon) for a particular amino acid; and 'wobble' base-pairing, i.e. permitting non-standard base-pairing at the 3rd anti-codon position. RNAcentral also lists the same sequence under 1 other name. Lineage: Archaea; Thermoproteati; Candidatus Bathyarchaeota. The record is from RNAcentral.
GCGGCCGUCGUCUAGCCUGGACAGGACACUGGCCUUCCACGCCAGCGACCCGGGUUCAAAUCCCGGCGGCCGCACCA